Molecule: long non-coding RNA, 339 nt
Filed under: Elaeis guineensis (African oil palm)
Lineage: Eukaryota; Viridiplantae; Streptophyta; Magnoliopsida; Arecales; Arecaceae
Description: long non-coding RNA (EGUI_LNC038615)
Source: RNAcentral
UCCUAGCUUCUUUCUUUUUACUGAGGCUAUGAAGCAUUGACGGGCCAGCAUCUGGUCUCCUCGAAUUUCGCCGACCCCAUACCUAGUCGGAAUUCUCAUUAAAAGGUGGUAUUGGAAACCAUUACUCAAUGUGCAUUGACUCUAUGUUAGCCUAAGAUGGCGUUGUAGGUAGACGGUACCUAAACCACCCAAAAGGUUAGCUGAAUAGUUACUUGCUGAGGCUCUCAUCCUCUUGUAACCGACAAAGUGAUUUCUCCUUUGAUCACAAUCGAGUCUUCGGAGAAUCCAACUUAUGGUGUGUUGACCUUUUUCAACCAAUCAAUUAGUAGCUUCAUUCUU